Molecule: long non-coding RNA, 151 nt
Organism: Choloepus didactylus (southern two-toed sloth)
Lineage: Eukaryota; Metazoa; Chordata; Mammalia; Pilosa; Megalonychidae
Exons: 3
Source: RefSeq, a predicted model, not a curated record
UACUUUCCAAAGCUUCCUUAACUAUGUAUGCUUCCUGCUGGAGGAAAUUGGGAAAUCUGCCUGGAAUCUGGGGUAAAUGCUCGUUUACCUGAUGGAGGAUCAGAUCCCCAGCAAAAUUUGCAUUCUUUCUACUAGAAGAAAUGGAAAGGCC